RNAcentral lists this ribosomal RNA (738 nucleotides) under Photorhabdus kayaii. RNAcentral describes it as "bacterial SSU rRNA". It matches the Rfam family "Bacterial small subunit ribosomal RNA", at positions 18 to 745 of the family's 1533-position model. Lineage: Bacteria; Pseudomonadati; Pseudomonadota; Gammaproteobacteria; Enterobacterales; Morganellaceae. The record is from RNAcentral.
CCUGGCUCAGAUUGAACGCUGGCGGCAGGCCUAACACAUGCAAGUCGAGCGGUAACAGGAAAGCGCUUGCGCUUUUGCUGACGAGCGGCGGACGGGUGAGUAAUGUCUGGGGAUCUCCCCGAGGGCGGGGGAUAACCACUGGAAACGGUGGCUAAUACCGCAUAAUGUCGCGAGACCAAAGUGGGGGACCUGAAGGGCCUCACGCCGUCGGAUGAACCCAGAUGGGAUUAGCUAGUAGGUAGGGUAAAGGCCUACCUAGGCGACGAUCCCUAGCUGGUCUGAGAGGAUGACCAGCCACACUGGGACUGAGACACGGCCCAGACUCCUACGGGAGGCAGCAGUGGGGAAUAUUGCACAAUGGGGCAAGCCUGAUGCAGCCAUGCCGCGUGUAUGAAGAAGGCCUUCGGGUUGUAAAGUACUUUCAGCGGGGAGGAAGGGUUCAGCUUGAACAGAGCUGAAUUUUGACGUUACCCGCAGAAGAAGCACCGGCUAACUCCGUGCCAGCAGCCGCGGUAAUACGGAGGGUGCAAGCGUUAAUCGGAAUGACUGGGCGUAAAGCGCACGCAGGCGGUCAAUUAAGUUAGAUGUGAAAUCCCCGGGCUCAACCUGGGAAUGGCAUCUAAGACUGGUUGGCUGGAGUCUCGUAGAGGGGGGUAGAAUUCCAUGUGUAGCGGUGAAAUGCGUAGAGAUGUGGAGGAAUACCGGUGGCGAAGGCGGCCCCCUGGACGAAGACUGACG